AUGGCAAGACUGCGAGUGGGAGGGGCGGACGUGUGGGCUUGGGCAAGAGAGAAUUUUGGCCUGUUCACGGUCAGGUCGGCAUAUAGGCAUGAGAUGCAAACUAAGCUACAAAUGCAAGAGACAGUUGGUUCAUCAUCUCGUGAGUCAGCCAUAUGGAAGGCGUUGUGGAAUAUCAAUGUGCUUCCAAAGAUCCGGGUGUUUUGGUGGCGUGUGCUGAAGAACUUCUUGCCAUCUUAUGGCGAGCUUCACAGAAGGCAUAUCAAGCAGCUACCGAACUGCCCAAUGUGUGGACAUGACAAUGAGACAUUGUUUCACUCGCUGAUGGCAUGUGACCAUGCAAUGCGGAACAACUACACUCAUGAUGAGAUGGUGUAUCAACUGGUGAAAUCCAUGGUGAUUAUCGAGGAGAUUGUUUGGGCACUUGAGAUCCCGGAGAGGAAGAAGACCCAAGCUACUGUCCCCCCGAGGUGGUUGCCACCGGAGGAGGGAUGGAUAAAUAUUAACACUGAUGGAGCCACGGAUAUGGGUCUUAUAAGGGGAGGAGUGGGCUUAAUUGCUCGAGAUCAUCACGGAGCUCUCAUUAGAGCUGGAGGCUCAAGGACAUGGGCAUCCAGCAAGUUGUGCUGGAGACGGACUGUCAGGAGAUCCAACAGCUCUGGGAUGCACCUCAGAGUCUUUUCAUCUGACGAAGGAUUUAUAAUGGAUGCACAUCACUUUGGGAGGAAUUACCAGACACACGACCAGCGAGCGGUGGCAGAAGCAACAUUACCUUGGAGUACAUGA
RNAcentral lists this ribosomal RNA (783 nucleotides) under Triticum aestivum (bread wheat). Its description in RNAcentral is "partial small subunit ribosomal RNA". Lineage: Eukaryota; Viridiplantae; Streptophyta; Magnoliopsida; Poales; Poaceae. The record is from RNAcentral.